AGGGGUGUAGGUUUAACGGUUAGACCAGCGGUCUCCAAAACCGCGAGUGCGGGUUCGAAUCCUGCCACCCCUGCCA
Molecule: transfer RNA, 76 nt
Filed under: Acidobacteriota bacterium
Lineage: Bacteria; Pseudomonadati; Acidobacteriota
Also listed under: 2 other names
Description: tRNA-Trp
Rfam family: tRNA
About the family: Transfer RNA (tRNA) molecules are approximately 80 nucleotides in length. Their secondary structure includes four short double-helical elements and three loops (D, anti-codon, and T loops).
Source: RNAcentral